CGAUGGCGACCGGCGCACGGGUGAGUAACACGUAUCCAACCUGCCGUCUACUCUUGGACAGCCUUCUGAAAGGAAGAUUAAUACAAGAUGGCAUCAUGAGUCCGCAUGUUCACAUGAUUAAAGGUAUUCCGGUAGACGAUGGGGAUGCGUUCCAUUAGAUAGUAGGCGGGGUAACGGCCCACCUAGUCUUCGAUGGAUAGGGGUUCUGAGAGGAAGGUCCCCCACAUUGGAACUGAGACACGGUCCAAACUCCUACGGGAGGCAGCAGUGAGGAAUAUUGGUCAAUGGGCGAGAGCCUGAACCAGCCAAGUAGCGUGAAGGAUGACUGCCCUAUGGGUUGUAAACUUCUUUUAUAAAGGAAUAAAGUCGGGUAUGCAUACCCGUUUGCAUGUACUUUAUGAAUAAGGAUCGGCUAACUCCGUGCCAGCAGCCGCGGUAAUACGGAGGAUUCGAGCGUUAUCCGGAUUUAUUGGGUUUAAAGGGAGCGUAGAUGGAUGUUUAAGUCAGUUGUGAAAGUUUGCGGCUCAACCGUAAAAUUGCAGUUGAUACUGGAUAUCUUGAGUGCAGUUGAGGCAGGCGGAAUUCGUGGUGUAGCGGUGAAAUGCUUAGAUAUCACGAAGAACUCCGAUUGCGAAGGCAGCCUGCUAAGCUGCA
RNAcentral lists this ribosomal RNA (654 nucleotides) under uncultured Bacteroidales bacterium. Its description in RNAcentral is "bacterial SSU rRNA". It matches the Rfam family "Bacterial small subunit ribosomal RNA", at positions 86 to 738 of the family's 1533-position model. Lineage: Bacteria; Pseudomonadati; Bacteroidota; Bacteroidia; Bacteroidales. The record is from RNAcentral.